UACGGGAGGCAGCAGUGGGGAAUCUUGCACAAUGGAGGAAACUCUGAUGCAGCGAUGCCGCGUGAGUGAAGAAGGCCUUUGGGUUGUAAAGCUCUUUCGUCGGGGAAGAAAAUGACUGUACCCGAAUAAGAAGGUCCGGCUAACUUCGUGCCAGCAGCCGCGGUAAUACGAAGGGACCUAGCGUAGUUCGGAAUUACUGGGCUUAAAGAGUUCGUAGGUGGUUGAAAAAGUUGGUGGUGAAAUCCCAGAGCUUAACUCUGGAACUGCCAUCAAAACUUUUCAGCUAGAGUAUGAUAGAGGAAAGCAGAAUUUCUAGUGUAGAGGUGAAAUUCGUAGAUAUUAGAAAGAAUACCAAUUGCGAAGGCAGCUUUCUGGAUCAUUACUGACACUGAGGAACGAAAGCAUGGGUAGCGAAGAGGAUUAGAUACCCUCGUAGUCCAUGCCGUAAACGAUGUGUGUUAGACGUUGGAAAUUUAUUUUCAGUGUCGCAGCGAAAGCGAUAAACACACCGCCUGGGGAGUACGACCGCAAGGUUAAAACUCAAAUGAAUUGACGGGGACCCGCACAAGUAGUGGAGCAUGUGGUUUAAUUCGAAGAUACGCGCAGAACCUUACCAACACUUGACAUGUUCGUCGCGACUUUAAGAGAUUAAAGUUUUCGGUUCGGCCGGACGAAACACAGGUGCUGCAUGGCUGUCGUCAGCUCGUGUCGUGAGAUGUUGGGUUAAGUCCCGCAACGAGCGCAACCCUCACUUUUAGUUGCCAUCAUUAAGUUGAGCACUCUGAAAGAACUGCCAGUGAUAAGCUGGAGGAA
Molecule: ribosomal RNA, 813 nt
Filed under: marine metagenome
Description: bacterial SSU rRNA
Rfam family: Bacterial small subunit ribosomal RNA
Source: RNAcentral